CCUACGGGAGGCAGCAGUGGGGGAUAUUGCACAAUGGGGGAAACCCUGAUGCAGCGACGCCGCGUGAGUGAAGAAGUAUUUCGGUAUGUAAAGCUCUAUCAGCAGGGAAGAAAAUGACAGUACCUGACCAAGAAGCCCCGGCUAACUACGUGCCAGCAGCCGCGGUAAUACGUAGGGGGCAAGCGUUAUCCGGAUUUACUGGGUGUAAAGGGAGCGUAGACGGUUAUGUAAGUCUGGAGUGAAAGCCCGGGGCCCAACCCCGGGACUGCUUUGGAAACUGUAUGGCUGGAGUGCAGGAGAGGUAAGUGGAAUUCCUAGUGUAGCGGUGAAAUGCGUAGAUAUUAGGAGGAACACCAGUGGCGAAGGCGGCUUACUGGACUGUAACUGACGUUGAGGCUCGAAAGCGUGGGGAGCAAACAGGAUUAGAUACCCUUGUAGUC
This 440-nucleotide ribosomal RNA is filed under the name uncultured bacterium. RNAcentral's name for it is "partial 16S ribosomal RNA". It matches the Rfam family "Bacterial small subunit ribosomal RNA", at positions 338 to 795 of the family's 1533-position model. The record is from RNAcentral.